GCCCGACACCACGCUGGCCCGUGGGGUAGUCGCCGCACGCCGAGCACCGGCAGGCUGCGCAGCCGUCGACCAUGAUUUUGCCAAGGUUAGCCCCCGCACUGUCUCGUGAGCAUCAAUUCAUUUUACUUUAAUUGCUUAUAAGAUGAGAUGCGUGGUGUUUUUAUAUAUAUAUGCAAGGGUGGUAACCAGCGUUUUCUGAUUGGUCUGUGUCCGUGCUCUUGUCCUCAGAUGGAAUCCUGAAUUACUGAAAUAUUACGCGUACUUUGGAACUGAUAUGACAUUUCUUUUAUAAAUCCAGCCGUGCAGGCGGAUUGUAAGUGUUACAUUUGUUUCAAUAUCGAGUUUACUUGUGAGUUGAGACUAAAAACCCAGUAAAUUUCAUGAAUUGGAAGUAAAACCAAUGAAUUUGGUAUCUCCAUGGCACACGAUUUCUAUUACAUACGUCUUAAGUAAAAAUCAUGUGAAUUCCAUAUCUCUUGCUGGCACACGAUUUCUAUUAUGCUAAAUAGGAUGUUGAUAUUAAAAUAUGUAAUUUGAGAUAUCCAUAAAUGUAAAUAUAUAAGAUGGGUAUCAGUAUCCAACUAUCCAUAUACAUGAAUAUAUAAAUACAAAUAUCUAAGUUCAGGUACGGUAUCAAAUGUUAAAUAUUCAGGCUCCUAUCCUAACCGAUCUAAACUCAAAUAAACGAAUUUACACUCAGAUACGAUCGACUACAAACAAAUUCAGACCAGGAAAAAUAUUUCGUGCCAUUUGCACCAGUGAAACCCAGUUCUUUUUUCCCCCGAAAGCACGGCAAGAGAAUUGACGUGGCUAAACUUUUAUUAGGUACCGCACACGUCACACCCAAAACAAACCCAGUUGUGGCUGCCACUUUCGUUCUCUCUUCAGUUUUACGCUACUAUUUGUCACCUUGCAGCGUUGUAAAGCGCCAUGUAGGAAAGAAGAUGCCCAGCGACGCGACACGAAAUAAGCAGCAAAGCUUCGAUUCCAAAUCUCGGUAUGGUACAGAUACUCUUAUAGGUACAUACGCCAACGGGCAACCUUGCCAUAGACAUUUCUGUCCAGGCGCGCACUGUUUUCUCAGUGUUUCGUAUUAUUCUGCUACUAGGAGCAGGCCGAGUUUCACAUGUGUUAGCAGAUGCUACUCUAAAAUCAUCAUCUCCCAUCUCGACUACCACAAGGUCUCAAGAACAGUGUACAUGUAUUUGGUUCUGCAGAAUCAGAGGAAGUUCAGUAAGUUGCAAAGCCACAAGACAGAUAAUUUGAUCCGCAGGCACUGCAAGGGAAAGAACAGAACAGGAUGGAUAUCCUUUUACCU
This 1318-nucleotide long non-coding RNA is filed under the name Zea mays. RNAcentral describes it as "long non-coding RNA (ZMAY_LNC004062)". Lineage: Eukaryota; Viridiplantae; Streptophyta; Magnoliopsida; Poales; Poaceae. The record is from RNAcentral.